This is a long non-coding RNA of Colius striatus (speckled mousebird), 9384 nucleotides long. RefSeq lists it as uncharacterized. The record is from RefSeq and is a predicted model, not a curated record. Lineage: Eukaryota; Metazoa; Chordata; Aves; Coliiformes; Coliidae. The transcript is spliced from 4 exons.
GAGAGGUGGAGGGUACAGAAGAGGCAGGCAUGGGGUGGAGUGAAAGGAGGUGCUUGUGUUAGCAGAUAAAAGCACAUGGUGUAAACAAUUAGUGGGAGUGGGAAUAAAGCAUUAUCGAUACUGUGUAUGUAGUGAUGUUGUCCCCUCAGCGGGGGCGGCCUGGUGAUGCUGCCUGCAGCGGCAACAUAUGGUGACUCCGACGUGAUUGGCGGAAUGCAGGACAUCCGCGGCCAUAGUACAGUUGGAACAGGUGAUUAAGCGAGGAGAGUGAGGGAUACGGCCCCGGAGCAGAGCCCCCCGCGGGACAGCUGCUUCCCAGUUGAGCCCCGCCCGUCAAGGAGUCGAAAAGGACCCGGCGCAGCCGAGAGCUGACACAGAGCGAGCCCGACCCCUGCCGAGACCAGCAGCAGCCGACGCCACCGCCUUCACCAUGCCCGGCACGGAGUGAGCCCCCCUGCCCCUUCCAUCUGCAGCCACUUCCCGCACCCGUUAAGUGAUCUUGUCCCCUCAGCGGGGGUGGGCUGAGCGAUCCGUUCGAGUGGCCUGGUGAUGUUACCGGUAGCGGCAACAAUCUUUGACUAUAUAUAAUUACAUUGUUUUUAGGAGUGUUUGAUGAGUUAUUUAGGCAUAGAAUUCCUGAUUAACUAAACCUUGAUGUUUUAAAUCAAAACAGAUAUGUAGGUAUCAGCACUGAUGAAAAGUCAGAACAAUGAAAAUCUAUCAUGAUUUCAGAUUCUGAUUCUCUAAUCUCAGAUAUCUGAAUAAAAAAAUAAGAAUCUAGGAUUCUUCUUUGAAAUAUAAUCCUAAGUCCAAAUAAAUGGAAAAGUGAAAGCAUACGUCUCUUUCUCUGAACCUCAUUUGGUAAAUAAGUUCUUUGAUUUCUGCUGCAAUGUAUGUUGACUGAUUGUCUGUAACAAUGUAUUAGAAAUGAUGUCUUAAUGUCUUAUUAGAAAUGAUAUCUUAUGUCUUAUUAGAAAUGAUGUGUCUUAUGGGUUUCUGGGUCAUGGUACUUCCCUCGCUUCUCUUAAUAUCUCUCACCUUUGGAAAUUAGAGCAAUGAUUUAGGGUGGGAAGGCACCAGCUUUUUUUUUUUUUUUUUAAAAAGUAGUCUUUUCAGAUGUUCCCAAACUGAGUUGAUUUGUAGAUCUAUCUUCAGACAUUGAGUUGUUUGCAGACUUCUAAAAUCAUGCAGUUAUACAGUUGUAUUUUCUGUGUCAGUCUUUCCUUUAUGUGAAGACAGUAAAGCUUACCUUUAAGAAGAGAGGUGAGACUGAGAAAAUCUAUCUAUCCAUCUAUAUCUAUAUCUAAACAGAAGCUGGAUUAGUUUUUCCUACAAAACAGUGUUCUGAUUUAGGACUGGUAGGAUUGCCUUUUUGUAUUAUGCAGAACAAGAUGCACAAAAGCAAAAAUGUAUUUGUACAGUAGGUGAGGCUACAAGGAAGUUUUGCUUCAAGAAAACAAAUGUGUUAUUCGUCACUAUUUUAUCACUUUGCUGCUGCUUAAAAUGAGAUUAUCACUUAUCUUAAACAAUUAGCAAGACCCCAAAAGCCUUCAAACCAAUGAAAAGUCUACAAGUUGAAUUUUAAAAAAAACCUGUAGAACUCAAUUAGAACGGUAAAAGGAAACCUGUAUAAAAAGAAGCCUUCCAGUUUUGGAAGGGCAGACAAAGAUAUUAUGAAGAUAUUAUGAUAUUGAUUAUGAAGAUAUUAUGAAAUAGUACUGUGGACAGAUGAGGCCUUUCUUCCUGAUUAAUAGAUCUUUCUAAACUUGAUCUCUUAUGAAAAUUAUUUUCUUAUCACUAAAAAGCAAUGCAUUGUCUCCACAGAAAAAACAAUACAAAUAAAAUUAAUUUUAUUCAAAAAAUUAGCCACAUAGCAGUGAGUCAAUCCCUGGAUGCCAGCUACCCACCAAAGCCAUUCUACCCCUCACUCUCCUCAGCUGGACAGAGAAAAUAUAACAAAAGGUUCAUGGGUCAAGAUAAGGACAGGGAGAUCACUCAGAAAUUACUGUCACAAGCAAAAAAGACUCAAUUUUGGGAAAAGUAAUUUCAUUUAUUACUGAUCAGAACAAAGAAGUGCAAUGAGAAAUAAAAACUAAAUUUAAAACUAAAUACAAGGUAAAUAAAAGCAUAUGUGAAUUGCUCCUUAGCUUCCUCCUUAGCUAUUAUUCUUUCUUCAUUCAAUGCAUUUCCAGGUGAAGUCAUGAGGCACAUGUAAUUUCCAUUCAUUUUAUCAGCUUUCAAUUACUUGAUUUUGUUUGUUUGUUUGUUUUUUAAUAGCAAAUUAUCCUGUUUGCUGAUGUGUUCCAGUGACAAAGUAUUUUCUGUGCUCAUACAAUAGACACAGAAAUUGCACCUGACUGGUAUAUGAUGAUGAAUAAAGGCAUGCCUUUUUGUUCAGUCCCCCUCCAGUGACUGAACACCUCUUCUGAUGAAUCUCCUCUGUUUUUCAUGCUUCCUUGAGUCACGAGAAGUUUUCUUCCAAGAACUAGGUCAGGCAAUGAGAAAUCACGACUCUAAAGUCAAAUCUAAGGUUCAAGAGCUGCUUUGGUUACCCAAGGAGACGAUCUACUACAAUUGGUAGGAGUGCCCUGUUUGAGCUACAGCUAGCUUGGAAACUGUUUCCUCAUCCAAAAGAAAUAAUGGUAACGGAAAGUUUCAUUGCAAGUCCAUCAGGAACUUCCACAAAACAGAACUGUUCUACAGAGCUGUGUUUCCUUAACCUGACACCAAGCGAAACAUCUCAAAGGUGGACUGCUGGGAUAAACACCACCUCAAAGAUCCUGCCACCUCCACACUGUUCAAGAUUUUGUGACUAUCUGGUCUUAAUGCCUUAGGGCUAUCGAUACAGAGGAGGAGGACUGUAAGUGGAACCUAGGAGCUAGGCAGUAGGAGGAUGUCAGCAUUUCUGAAAUAUUAAAGGUAAGAUUUUUAGUCUUGCAAGAAUGUAUGAUAUUGAAAACAUGUAUUUUCCAAUAUUACUUAAACAAUUAACAGAUAUUUCAAAUGUUUUUGAAAAGAUUUUAAAAGUUCACAAAAAUUAAGAUAGUUCAUUUAUCUUAACAGAAGGUGCUUUAUAAGGCAUGUGUGUAAAAAGAAGAAAAUUCCCCUGGCAAUUUUAGGAAUCAAUAUUUUAGUAAUAUGUGCUCAAGCUUUUAUUCAAUCAUAGCGUUAUAACAUUGUCAUGCCUUCUGGCUGACUGAAAUUUACCAUUACAGUUAUAUCAUUAUAGCAUUUGUCACUAACAUGUACAAAAUUUAAAGUUUGUACUAUAUAUUUUUGAACAAUGACCACGUGACAGGAUAAUAUAGUUUUGUCUCAAUUAGAAAUUGUGACAGGUGGAUCUAAUAUAAAUGCUGCUAAACCUUCUCUCAGCUUGAGAAUCUUGGAAACUUAGAAGUGAUCCUAUUUUCAGCUUUGUCAGAAACAUUCUGGUCUCAUACACCAGAAAUUAACCUAAGACAGAAUUCAAAGCUAUUUCUCUGAUGACAAAGAAAUGAAGCACAGAAAAACUGUGAUUUAAAUUACUUAGAGUACCCCAAGCACAGACUUCCCAGAGGAUUCUACAGUGGAAGUAUGAUAUGAAGAAGUUGACAGUUUAUAUAUUGUAUGGCAGAUAAUGUGAUUAGAACACAAAUUAUAAUUACCUCUUGGGCAAACAAAUAUCCCAGAAAAAAAAAAAAAUUCACAGACUCAAGUUUGAAAAUGUUUGUAAAUCAAGAGCAUGCAAGUAAUUAAUUUGAAGCACAUAGAAAUGAAAAUGCUAAGUUUAAUUUAAAAUGUCUCAGCAAUACUUGACUUGUGUUUCAGCUGAUUUGAGUUGUAUUUCUAAGCAUUCAGAAACUGAUCUCAUUCAUGUAGUUUAAAUGUUUUUUCAGCUCAGGCUAGAAAUUUCCUCGCCCCUGGGAAUGAAAGAAUAGCUUUUCAGCUUCAUGAUGUGAGCUAAUUCUCAUUUUAAGCAUAUCUUUUUGCUGUAUGGUUUGCUCUUUCUAUUUUGCAAGAUGCUAAGAUAUCAAAUAAACAAUAUUAAUUUAGGUGACUGUCUCUAGCAAAAUAACAGCAUGGAGGAUGUUUUCCCGGGAAAGUAUACAUGGAAAGAAGAUUGUAAUGCUAAUGAUUGGUCUUGCGGUAGAACAUAUUUUCAAAUAUGAUUUGAGAUGUAUUUUCAAACUAGCAUUGCACAGGAUAUCCUUACUGUGGUGGUUUAGCCCUGGCUGGGUGCCAGGUGCCCACCAAGCUGUAAUAUCACUCCCCCUCCUAAACUUGAUGUGGGAGAGACAAAUAUAAUGAAUAGUUUUUGUGUUGAGAUAAAGACAGUGAGAUCACUCAGCAAUUGGUGUCACAGGCAAAACAGACUCAACUUGGGAAGAAAAAGCUUUGAUUUAUUAAAGGAACAAUAAGAACAGGGAGAUGAGAAAUAAAACUAAAUCUUAAAACACAUCUCCCCACCCCUUCCUCUUCCUGGGACUCUCCUUCCUUCCCCACCAGCAGCACAGGGGAUGGGGGUUGUGGACAGUUCAUUACAGAUGGACUUUGCCGCUGCUUCUUCUCAGGGGGAGGCCUUCUUACACUUCCCACUGCUACACUGUGAGGUCCCUCCCCGUGGGAGACAGUCCAUCAUGAACUUUUCCAGUGUGGGUCCUUCCCAUGGGAUACAGUUCCUCACAAACUGCUCCAGCAUGUGGGCUCUUCUCUCCCCAAGGUCUCCCAGGUCCUGCCAGUAACUUGCUCCAACGUGGGUUUCCCACGGUGUCCCAGCCUCCUUCAGGCAUCCUCCUGCUCCAGCAUGGGGUCCUCCAUGGGCUGUGAGUGGAUCUCUGCUUCCUGGUGACCUCCAUGGACAGCAGGGGCACAGCUGUCUCACCUUGGUCCUCGCCACAGAUCACAGCGGAGUCUUUCUUCCAGGGCUUUUUCCCAGGGUUUUCGCAUUCUAACUCCCUGUUGCUGCUGCAGUUUAGCAACUGUGCAGCAACUUCUUCCCCGUCUUGUAUUUGUUACUCACAGAAGCGUUACCUCAGUCACUAAUUGGCCAGGUCUUGGUCAGCUGAGGGACCCGUCUUAGCCCUAUCAGCUACAGUGGAAACUUCUGGCAGAUCUUCUUUGUUUAAAGAAGCCACCACUGUAGCCCCCCCGCCACCAAAAACCUGGCCCAGGCAAAACCUCUACACUUGCUGAGGAUGUCUUGUGGCUGUACUGUCUCUGGUCUGUUUUUGAAAGAAGGAUUAUAUAUUCAAACGGCUGAGACAUAGCAGAACAUGUUCACACUUUGUUUUUCCUUUUCCGUCCUCCUUGCCCUUCUCUCUGCUGAAAAUCUAGGGACAAUAUUCUCUCACUAAGGGAAAAAAUGAACUGAAGACUACAAAACAAUGACUGUCUUGCACAACAGUAAGAACACUAUUUUUCUUAGGAUUCCAUGUGCUCUGAAGGGAAAAGCCUGGGGAAGAAGGUACUUUGAAAGUAAAUUAGUGAUAUUUCAUAGGAUACUUUUUGUCCUCUUUUUUUCUUUGCAUGUCAAUGCUCUACAGUUCUGUAAUGUUUUCUCUUUUAAAGAUUUUCUAAAAUAAAGCACUGGUUGCCUGUUCAUUUUGCAUACCUAUUCCUCUAUUUUUAAGUCAGAUGUAAAUUUAGUGUACACAAUAAUAAUAUUAGUGUGAGCCAGACAGUUUGGAAAGACACUAUAUAGGCUUUCUCUCACAGCUGUUUUAAUACACUUCUAUAUUGUCCUAUAGUAUCGCAGUCACUGGCCUCAGCUUCUAUGGAGACAUGAGAAGGAACAUCGGUGUACUUUGCUAUGUAGAUGUUACGUUGUAGCAAAAGGAGUUGUCCUGGUUUGGGCUAGGAUAGGGUUAACUUUGAUGAGGAAGUAGGAAGGGGCACAGCAUGGGCAGCUGACCCAGGCUGGCCAACAGGUAUUCCAUACCAUAUUGACAUCAUGCCCAGUACAUAUAGGCAGGGAGCGAGUUGGGGGCAGCGCUGCGGAACCGCGAGCUCAGCUGCCAGUCGGGAGCAGUUGUGUUGGGUCCCGGGUGCUGAGCAACUGUGGCACGCACCAUUCCUUUUGUAUAUCCCCUCAUUUACUGUUAAAACAGUUUUUUUUUUUUUCCCUGAACUUGUUUCUUCUUAUUGUUGUUCUUAAUAGAACAACCAUUCUUAUUUCAACCUAUGCGGGUUUUUCCCCUUUAUCUCUGGUUUCCCUCCUUGCUCCACUGGGAGGGGGAGGAGUGAGCGAGCACUCUCGUGGCUCUUUGUCCUCCGCUGGACAAUACCACAACAUUAUUUGGUGCCCAACGUGGGGCCCGCAGGGUUGAAAUAAGACAGAGUGGGCUGAAACAAUUUUUCUUGUGUACAUUUCUGAUAUUAAAAAGCUGCUGGCCACAAUGUUGAUUUAUAUGCUUAAAUGGUGUUGGCCAAUAAUUUCUCAAUGUAUUCUCUGUGAUAGUGUUUAUGGCCUUUGGAAAAGGGACAAAAGCACUCAUUCUGAUAUACUGGUUGCUAUUGGCUUAUGGUAUGGUUGUAUCACUGGGUAUGGAGCUAGGCCAGUACUUGGACAUGACUUGGUUGUCAUUUCUGCAACUUGGACAUUCCCUCUCAGAAUUUAGUGACAAUAAUGACACUCAGUUCAUUGCAAAAACGGAGGGACGUGGUUUUUUCCAUCCUCCCUUACUCAUUCGGGUUAACUGCAAUAGCUUUUGACAAUUUGGAAUACACUUGGGAUGUUCCAGCCAUUGUGGCUCUAUUGUUCCGUCUUCUAGGCAGGGUGUUUUUCUUGGGUAGAGUUGCAAAAUUUGUUUUUCAGACUGUUAUGAGGGUGGGUAGCUAUGGAGGGAUUGACAUACAGAAGAAUAGGAACAGGUAUUGGUACCCUGAUACAAAUGCCUAUUGCAGCAUUGUAUAAAAGAUUAGUGCAGUUUAUUAACAUUAGUACUCAUUUUCACAAAUAUGUGAUUCUGUCUUUUUUAGAAAAUCAUCAAAUUACCGAGGAGGGUUUUGCACUGAGUCAAAAAUUAAAAAGUUAAGAAUUCUGUCCAGCCCUUAGAGUAUUGUGUCAUCUACAUUGCUUGGCAUAAGUAAGAGGCAAAAUUGCUUUUCUGACUUGGUUUCCUAACGAUGUGUGUAACAGUGGAUACGCGUAGGAUAAAAUGUAUUUUGGUGGUGUUCACAAAAGGUCCACAUAAAAUUCAGUCCUGUAGCUAGAAGGGUACAACUAACUAUCUUCUUGAUUGUUGCUGUCUAUUUACCUUCUCGUGACUCAAGGAAGCAUGAAAAACAGAGGAGAUUCAUCAGAAGAGGUGUUCAGUCACUGGAGGGGGACUGAACAAAAAGGCAUGCCUUUAUUCAUCAUCAUAUACCAGUCAGGUGCAAUUUCUGUGUCUAUUGUAUGAGCACAGAAAAUACUUUGUCACUGGAACACAUCAGCAAACAGGAUAAUUUGCUAUUAAAAAACAAACAAACAAACAAAAUCAAGUAAUUGAAAGCUGAUAAAAUGAAUGGAAAUUACAUGUGCCUCAUGACUUCACCUGGAAAUGCAUUGAAUGAAGAAAGAAUAAUAGCUAAGGAGGAAGCUAAGGAGCAAUUCACAUAUGCUUUUAUUUACCUUGUAUUUAGUUUUAAAUUUAGUUUUUAUUUCUCAUUGCACUUCUUUGUUCUGAUCAGUAAUAAAUGAAAUUACUUUUCCCAAAAUUGAGUCUUUUUUGCUUGUGACAGUAAUUUCUGAGUGAUCUCCCUGUCCUUAUCUUGACCCAUGAACCUUUUGUUAUAUUUUCUCUGUCCAGCUGAGGAGAGUGAGGGGUAGAAUGGCUUUGGUGGGUAGCUGGCAUCCAGGGAUUGACUCACUGCUAUGUGGCUAAUUUUUUGAAUAAAAUUAAUUUUAUUUGUAUUGUUUUUUCUGUGGAGACAAUGCAUUGCUUUUUAGUGAUAAGAAAAUAAUUUUCAUAAGAGAUCAAGUUUAGAAAGAUCUAUUAAUCAGGAAGAAAGGCCUCAUCUGUCCACAGUACUAUUUCAUAAUAUCUUCAUAAUCAAUAUCAUAAUAUCUUCAUAAUAUCUUUGUCUGCCCUUCCAAAACUGGAAGGCUUCUUUUUAUACAGGUUUCCUUUUACCGUUCUAAUUGAGUUCUACAGGUUUUUUUUAAAAUUCAACUUGUAGACUUUUCAUUGGUUUGAAGGCUUUUGGGGUCUUGCUAAUUGUUUAAGAUAAGUGAUAAUCUCAUUUUAAGCAGCAGCAAAGUGAUAAAAUAGUGACGAAUAACACAUUUGUUUUCUUGAAGCAAAACUUCCUUGUAGCCUCACCUACUGUACAAAUACAUUUUUGCUUUUGUGCAUCUUGUUCUGCAUAAUACAAAAAGGCAAUCCUACCAGUCCUAAAUCAGAACACUGUUUUGUAGGAAAAACUAAUCCAGCUUCUGUUUAGAUAUAGAUAUAGAUGGAUAGAUAGAUUUUCUCAGUCUCACCUCUCUUCUUAAAGGUAAGCUUUACUGUCUUCACAUAAAGGAAAGACUGACACAGAAAAUACAACUGUAUAACUGCAUGAUUUUAGAAGUCUGCAAACAACUCAAUGUCUGAAGAUAGAUCUACAAAUCAACUCAGUUUGGGAACAUCUGAAAAGACUACUUUUUAAAAAAAAAAAAAAAAAAGCUGGUGCCUUCCCACCCUAAAUCAUUGCUCUAAUUUCCAAAGGUGAGAGAUAUUAAGAGAAGCGAGGGAAGUACCAUGACCCAGAAACCCAUAAGACACAUCAUUUCUAAUAAGACAUAAGAUAUCAUUUCUAAUAAGACAUUAAGACAUCAUUUCUAAUACAUUGUUACAGACAAUCAGUCAACAUACAUUGCAGCAGAAAUCAAAGAACUUAUUUACCAAAUGAGGUUCAGAGAAAGAGACGUAUGCUUUCACUUUUCCAUUUAUUUGGACUUAGGAUUAUAUUUCAAAGAAGAAUCCUAGAUUCUUAUUUUUUUAUUCAGAUAUCUGAGAUUAGAGAAUCAGAAUCUGAAAUCAUGAUAGAUUUUCAUUGUUCUGACUUUUCAUCAGUGCUGAUACCUUCAUAUCAUAGAUGUUCAUUCACUGGAGUGGGACUGAAGAAAAAGGCAUGCCUUUAUUCAUCAUCAUAUACCAGUCAGGUGUAACUUCUGUGUCCAUUAUAUGAGCACAGAAAAAUAUUUUGUCACUGGAACACAUCACCAAACAGGAUAAUUUGCUAUUACAAAACGAACAAACAAACAAAAUCAGGUAAUUACAAGCUGAUAAAAUGAAUGGAAAUUACAUAUGCCUCAUGACUUCAUCUGGAAAUGUAUUGAAUGAAGAAAGAAUAAUAGCUAAGGAGGAAGCUAAGGAGCAAUUCACAUAUGCUUUUAUUUACCUUGUAUUUAUAUACAUAUUUUAUUUUCAUUCUUGCCUU